Molecule: ribosomal RNA, 643 nt
Filed under: uncultured bacterium
Lineage: Bacteria
Description: bacterial SSU rRNA
Rfam family: Bacterial small subunit ribosomal RNA
Source: RNAcentral
CCGGCGCACGGGUGCGUAACGCGUAUGCAACCUACCUUUUACAGGGGAAUAGCCCAGAGAAAUUUGGAUUAAUGCCCCAUGGUAUAUUUGAGUGGCAUCACUUGAUUAUUAAAGUUCCAACGGUAAAAGAUGGGCAUGCGUCCUAUUAGCUGGAUGGUAAGGUAACGGCUUACCAUGGCUACGAUAGGUAGGGGUCCUGAGAGGGAGAUCCCCCACACUGGUACUGAGACACGGACCAGACUCCUACGGGAGGCAGCAGUGAGGAAUAUUGGACAAUGGGCGCAAGCCUGAUCCAGCCAUGCCGCGUGCAGGAAGACGCAUCUAUGGUGUGUAAACUGCUUUUGUACGGGAAGAAACACUCCUACGUGUAGGAGCUUGACGGUACCGUAAGAAUAAGGAUCGGCUAACUCCGUGCCAGCAGCCGCGGUAAUACGGAGGAUCCAAGCGUUAUCCGGAAUCAUUGGGUUUAAAGGGUCCGUAGGCGGUUUGGUAAGUCAGUGGUGAAAGCCCAUCGCUCAACGAUGGAACGGCCAUUGAUACUGCCAGACUUGAAUUAUUGUGAAGUAACUAGAAUAUGUAGUGUAGCGGUGAAAUGCUUAAAUAUUACAUGGAAUACCAAUUGCCAAGGCUGGUUACUAACAAU